GAUGAACGCUAGCGGCAGGCUUAAUACAUGCAAGUCGAGGGGCAACAGCUUUGUAGCAAUACAGGGGCUGGCGACCGGCAAACGGGUGCGGAACACGUACACAACCUUCCUUUAAGUGGGGGAUAGCCCAUAGAAAUGUGGAUUAAUACCCCGUAAGAUUAUGUGGUGGCAUCACUAUAUAAUAAUAGCUAAGGCGCUUGAAGAUGGGUGUGCGUCUGAUUAGGUAGUUGGUGGGGUAAAGGCCCACCAAGCCAACGAUCAGUAGCUGAUGUGAGAG
RNAcentral lists this ribosomal RNA (277 nucleotides) under uncultured bacterium. RNAcentral's name for it is "partial 16S ribosomal RNA". It matches the Rfam family "Bacterial small subunit ribosomal RNA", at positions 28 to 298 of the family's 1533-position model. The record is from RNAcentral.